RNAcentral lists this ribosomal RNA (251 nucleotides) under uncultured prokaryote. RNAcentral's name for it is "partial 16S rRNA". It matches the Rfam family "Bacterial small subunit ribosomal RNA", at positions 525 to 775 of the family's 1533-position model. The record is from RNAcentral.
ACGUAGGGGGCGAGCGUUAUUCGGAAUUACUGGGUGUAAAGGGUAUGUAGGCGGCCCUUCAAGUCGCGUGUCAAAGUCCAGUGCUCAACGCUGGGUGUGCGCGCGAUACUGACGGGCUUGAGGGCUGGAGAGGUGAGCGGAAUUCCCGGUGUAGUGGGGAAAGACGGUGAUCUGGGGAGGAACACCAGUGGCGAAGGCGGCUCACUAGAAAGGUUCUGACGGGAAGGAACGAAAGCGGGGGGAGCAAACAG